Molecule: unclassified non-coding RNA, 2659 nt
Filed under: Penaeus chinensis
Lineage: Eukaryota; Metazoa; Arthropoda; Malacostraca; Decapoda; Penaeidae
Description: protein ST7 homolog, transcript variant X6
Source: RNAcentral
CACACACACACACACACACACACACACACACACACACACACACACACACACACACAUACUCAGAUACCCUCAAACUCAUACACUCAUACCUGCAUACACCCAAACAAACUCAUACUCAUAACCACAUACCUACAUACACUCAAGACAUAAUUACACAGACACAUAUAAACACAUAUACACAAAAACACACUCGCACUCACAUGCCCAUGAACUCAUACCCUCAUACACUUGCAAAUAUAUUUGCGGGUUUGUUUUAAUUGUGCGAGGGCUGACCCAAUGAAUGUUCACAUAUGUAGAGAUACAUAUACACAGAAAUAUCAGUGUGAUAUAUAUACGCAUUUAUUUAUCUAUCAAUACAGUAGAUAUGCAUGUAUAGAUUGAUAGAUAUGCAUUUAUUUCUGUGUUUAUGCAUGUCUGUAAUGAAUGUUUCUUGGGUCAGGCCUUGCCCAACUUUAACAAACUGGCCGAUAAAUGCUCACUCACUCAUGCACCCAUACAUACAGUUGUGAACAACAGAAUCAUUAGUAUUGGGUAUUAGGAUUCACCUUUAAUAUCUGUUAUUGUACUUACUUAGUCUGUACUUAGUCUGUGCAUACACAGACGUUAGAUUUAUGAUGGUAAUUUCAGUAUAAGAGGAAGAAUAACCUUGUUUUAUCUGAAAUGAACAAUAGUUUUACGUCAGUGACAUUUAGUUUUCUCAGGAAAUGUUCAUUGACAAAUAAGGAAAUGGAACUUUUUUUUUUUUUACCUCUAGCCUUUACUUUUGUAUAGCAUAGUGUACUAAAGGGAAAUGAAAUAGGUAGAAGAACCUUUUGAGUGACCAAAGUGGAGAAAUAAGGCAAUGGGAAUUCACCCAACACGAUUACUCCGUCAACGGAGUUUACCACCACCCACUGUGCUUAUGCAGCGAGAUGUUAAGGAAACUGUGAAGUGUUUGGAAGGGCGGAGACAGGGCGCAUGGGGCAAACAUGGAGAUCUCUUCAGCUGGAGGGAUUGGAAAGACUCGGUUUGGGUGAGGAAUGAUGACGCAAGUCACGUUGGUUCCUGCGAAGAGCCACACGCAUAUGAUUUGGUUAUGGUGAUGGCUUAUGUUGUGUUGUGGUUCCUGAUGGUGAUGCUGGUGCUGUCUGUGGGAUGUCUCACUCUGGUAUCAGCCACUGUAUUCCUGUCAACACUUACACCAAAGUUCUAUGUGGCCCUUACAGGAACCUCAUCUCUUAUCUCAGGCUUAAUACUAAUAUUUGAGUGGUGGUACUUUCGAAAAUAUGGGACCUCGUUCAUUGAACAGGUGUCCCUCAACCACCUCAGUCCCUGGAUUGGGGGCGGGGAGAACACCACCACAGAAAACACCAAUACCAAUCCCAACAAUAACAAUAAUCAACAAAGUGUUCCAGAGUGUAAAGUAUGGCGGAAUCCGCUGAAUCUUUUCCGAGGCUCUGAGUACCAGCGAUUAACAUGGUCAACCAAGAAGGAGCCCCUGACAUAUUAUGACAUGAAUUUAUCUGCACAAGACCACCAGACAUUCUUCACUUGUGAGGCAGAUGCAGGGAAGCCAGAAUAUGAAAUAAUGCAGACAGCAUGGAGAGAAAGAAACCCAGAGGUUCGCAUCAAGUCAGCACAUUCUGCCUUGGAACUAAACCCAGAGUGUGCCUCAGCAUACAUUCUCUUAGCUGAGGAGGAAUGCAACUCCAUUGUGGAGGUGGAAAAAAUGCUUAAAACAGCAUUGAAAUAUGCUGAAGUUAAUUAUAGAAAGUCACAAACUACCCAGCAUCAAAGUCCAGUAAUGGAAGCUUUGCACAGUAAGUUCAGGCGGGACAGAAAUGUAUUUAUUUACAUAAAAAGACGACUUGCCAUGUGUGCAAGAAAACUUGGCAAGAUGAAGGAAGCAAUAAAGAUGUUCAGGGAUCUAACAAAGGAAGUGCCUCCAAUUAUGAAUGUCUUAAACCUACAUGAAAAUUUGUUAGAGGCAUUACUUGAGGUUGGUGCAUAUGCUGAUGCACAAGCUGUUCUUGCAAAAUAUGAUGACAUUGCUCUCCCAAAGUCUGCAACUAUAUGUUAUACAGCAGCACUGCUAAAAGCAAGAGCAGUAGCAGAUAAAUUUUCUCCAGAUAUAGCAAGUAAACGUGGUCUCACAGCAGCAGAAAUGGCAGCUGUAGAAGCUAUUCACCGUGCUGUAGAAUUCAACCCACAUGUACCAAAGUACUUGCUGGAGAUGAAGCCCCUUAUUCUUCCUCCUGAGCAUAUCCUUAAAAGAGGAGAUUCUGAAGCCAUUGCAUAUGCCUUCUUCCACCUCCCACAUUGGAAAAGAGUUGAAGGAGCACUGAACCUCCUGCAUUGCACAUGGGAAGGAACAUUCCGUAUUAUUCCUUAUCCUUUGGAGAAAGGACACUUGUUUUACCCUUACCCAACUUGCACUGAAUGUGCAGACCGGGAACUUCUGCCAUGCAGAUAACAAAUGAAGAUGGCCAAUCAAAUAGAAGUAAGAAUAGCUUGCUUGGACCAGGAUGCAUAGCUGUAAGCUUUCCAUGAGGUAUCUGUCUACCCAAAAAAGGAGUUGCCAUUCUUCAUUGUAUUCACUGCAGGGCUUUGCUCCUUUACUGCAUUAUUGGCUCUCUUAACACACCAGUAUCCUGAGCCCAUGGGUGCCCUGGCCAAGACA